CCCGCCGUAGCUCAGUGGUAGAGCACCCGGCUCUUAACCGGGAGGACGUUGGUUCGAGCCCAGCCGGCGAGC
This 72-nucleotide transfer RNA is filed under the name Salinispora arenicola. RNAcentral describes it as "tRNA-Lys". It matches the Rfam family "tRNA". From Rfam's summary of the family: Transfer RNA (tRNA) molecules are approximately 80 nucleotides in length. Their secondary structure includes four short double-helical elements and three loops (D, anti-codon, and T loops). Lineage: Bacteria; Bacillati; Actinomycetota; Actinomycetes; Micromonosporales; Micromonosporaceae. RNAcentral also lists the same sequence under 1 other name. The record is from RNAcentral.